RNAcentral lists this ribosomal RNA (492 nucleotides) under uncultured bacterium. Its description in RNAcentral is "partial 16S ribosomal RNA". It matches the Rfam family "Bacterial small subunit ribosomal RNA", at positions 28 to 507 of the family's 1533-position model. The record is from RNAcentral.
GUUGAACGCUGGCGGCAUGCUUUACACAUGCAAGUCGAACGGUAAUAGGCCUUCGGGUGCUGACGAGUGGCGAACGGGUGAGUAAUGCAUCGGAACGUACCCAGAGGUGGGGGAUAACGCAGCGAAAGCUGUGCUAAUACCGCAUGUGAUCUGAGGAUGAAAGCGGGGGACCGAGCAGCAAUGUUUGGCCUCGCGCCUUUGGAGCGGCCGAUGUCGGAUUAGCUAGUUGGUGGGGUAAAGGCCUACCAAGGCGACGAUCCGUAGCUGGUCUGAGAGGACGACCAGCCACACUGGGACUGAGACACGGCCCAGACUCCUACGGGAGGCAGCAGUGGGGAAUUUUGGACAAUGGGCGCAAGCCUGAUCCAGCAAUGCCGCGUGCGGGAAGAAGGCCUUCGGGUUGUAAACCGCUUUUGGCAGGAACGAAACGGUGUCCGCUAAUACCGGGCGCUAAUGACGGUACCUGCAGAAUAAGCACCGGCUAACUACGUG